UCUCUCUCUCUCUCUGUGUUUGUGAUUCUUCGUUUCGCUCAAUCUUCUUGGACUUGAUCUAUUGGUGUUGGUUUUUAAAGAUGAGUCCCAUAAAGUUGUGUGGAUGAACCAAACCGACCAUAAAAAAAGGGGGCAUUACAACUAAAAAAUUAAACCAACCUAAUUACUAUCCAUUAAACCGAAUUUUUGGUUCAGAUUGGUUUGGAUUGAUCAGUUUGGUCCGAUUGAACCAUGCGGUGAACAGCCCUACUUCUAGCAUUCAUUCUAUUUUUGCCUGCUUCCUGAUUGCCUACCUUUCUUUGAGACCCUGGACCAUAAAAUUAGCAGGUUUGAAAAAGUUCAAUCAUAUGCUGAAAAUGUGUGUGCAUGAUUGUCCAUGACUAAUUAAUUCUCACUGAUGCGACUUUCUUUGCUUAUUAACUUCUACAGAUUCAAGAUGCCAUUACAAGUACUGAUGAUCAUAUGAAGCUGAUUGGUUCCAUGGAAGGGAUUGUAAA
This 497-nucleotide unclassified non-coding RNA is filed under the name Hevea brasiliensis (rubber tree). The record is from RNAcentral. Lineage: Eukaryota; Viridiplantae; Streptophyta; Magnoliopsida; Malpighiales; Euphorbiaceae.